RNAcentral lists this ribosomal RNA (429 nucleotides) under Actinomycetes bacterium. RNAcentral's name for it is "Actinobacteria bacterium partial 16S ribosomal RNA". It matches the Rfam family "Bacterial small subunit ribosomal RNA", at positions 355 to 776 of the family's 1533-position model. The record is from RNAcentral. Lineage: Bacteria; Bacillati; Actinomycetota; Actinomycetes.
UAGGGAAUCUUCCGCAAUGGGCGAAAGCUUGACGGAGCAACGCCGCGUGAGUGAUGAAGGUCUUCAGAUCGUAAAACUCUAUUAUUAGGGAAGAACAAAUGUGUAAGUAACUAUGCACGUCUUGACGGUACCUAAUCAGAAAGCCACGGCUAACUACGUGCCAGCAGCCGCGGUAAUACGUAGGUGGCAAGCGUUAUCCGGAAUUAUUGGGCGUAAAGCGCGCGUAGGCGGUUUUUUAAGUCUGAUGUGAAAGCCCACGGCUCAACCGUGGAGGGUCAUUGGAAACUGGAAAACUUGAGUGCAGAAGAGGAAAGUGGAAUUCCAUGUGUAGCGGUGAAAUGCGCAGAGAUAUGGAGGAACACCAGUGGCGAAGGCGACUUUCUGGUCUGUAACUGACGCUGAUGUGCGAAAGCGUGGGGAUCAAACAGG